GAAGAGGCCAGUGUGACCAGGACAGUGGGCAAGGAGAGUGGGAAUAGGUAAGGUUCAGAAGGUUCCAGAUCAGACCCUGAAAAGCUGUGCCUGCCGUGAGCAGGGAGGGGGACAGGCCUAACUUGAAACUGCUUUGAGGCAUAUGCUCAGACCUGUAAUAUGCAAGCAGUUGUCGUCAGGCUGGAGCUGACACUUCCACCCAUGUUUAGCUCAGUAAGGUAACUGAGGCUGGAUCAUCAUUUCCUGUGUACCCCAAAUUGCUACAAGCCUGAAGCCAGUUGUUCCUUCACCACCAGACCUUGUUCUCAGUCCUGACUGGGAGACUCUGAAGAUGAAGGGGGUACCCUCAGGGAAGGUAUGGAGAUGGAGGGGUCUGCACUGGAUUGACUGGUCAGGAACCCAAAGGAGGGUCCAGUGUCUGCCUGUGCCAUUCCCUCAGGGUCCAGCCAUCUGCUGUGACCACCGAUGUGGACUUGGUCAGAGGCCUAGAGCCCUGGUGCCUGCUCAAAAGAACAGAAACCAGGCAAGUUCCUCUCUGAUAAAAUGUGAAUGAUUCCUUCCUGUGUCAAUACCCUCUAAGAUUCCCUGGACAACCCCAACACUGCCCUUCAAAUCUCCCCUGCACAAAUUAAGUUCCUGGGGCAGCUCUACUGAACAGCGCCCUCUAGUGAAAAUUUGUGUUCCUGCGGUAACCGCUGGGGAAGGGCUUGCUGGAACCACCAAGGAGAGAGAAUCCGUCCAUGCUAUUCUUCAGAUCUCGCUCUACAGAAUCCCUGCUGUGCCAGGCAUCACCAGCCACUGAAAAGUUCUGAGAGCGAUGUGAGAGCGUAAGCCGUGUCUAUCAUGUUCACCAUUGGGCCUCACCACGUAAUACUGGCUGGCAUACACUUGACAUUCUGUAGUAUCAUCACCAUUUGACACAAGAAAUGAAGCCUUUGUAAUGACCCGAGGUCCUUCAGUUUGGAGUGACAGAGCUGAGUCAAUGAACUCUGGGGCACUGUUGAUGCUGAGGUCAGCCAGCCAGCUGCUCACCACUUUUCUCUCUGGCCCUGGCAGCCCAUGCAGAUUGUUGGCAACAGUAUAGAUGACACAUCAUUUUUUUCUACGUAGGACAGAGUUCAUCUUGCUUUUGAAAUGAAUCAUCCAGAUGUUUGGGUAGGUUUUGUGGCCACCACAAGUAGAAUUGUGAAUAGUUAUAGCUUUGAAUUAUUGAGUGAUUAUUCAGUACCAAAUACUGUACACCUACAUAAUCACAAAUGAAGUAAGUACUACUGUUGUCUUAAUUUAUGGUUGAGGAAACUGAAGCUUACAGAGGUUGAGUGCUAUUCAUGGUCACAGGGUUAAACUUCAGGCCGUCCAAUUUCAAAGUUCAUGCUAUUAAACUUACGCUAAUUGAAGAUUCUUUACCCAUCCCAGAAAGAGGAGGGAGGUGUUAAAGAAUAGCUAACUUUCAACAGACCUGCAGUUUUGUUGGCGUGUGUGUGUGUCUAUAUAUGGUAAACACCAUACUAUACACACUACCUUAACCUGGACACCUCUGCUGCCUGGCUAUGGCAUCCCAUAAAAAGGCUCUAAGCUGUGUGUGUGUGUGUGUGUGUG
Long non-coding RNA from Sciurus carolinensis (gray squirrel), 1599 nucleotides. RefSeq lists it as uncharacterized. The record is from RefSeq and is a predicted model, not a curated record. NCBI's taxonomy places the organism in Eukaryota, Metazoa, Chordata, Mammalia, Rodentia, Sciuridae. The transcript has 3 exons.